GACAGGGUAGCUCAGUUGGCAGAGCUCUGGACUCAUAAACCAGCGGUCGCGAGUUCAAAUCUCGCCCCUGUCACUA
This 76-nucleotide transfer RNA is filed under the name Candidatus Shapirobacteria bacterium CG07_land_8_20_14_0_80_39_12. RNAcentral describes it as "tRNA-Met". It matches the Rfam family "tRNA". Rfam says of the family: Transfer RNA (tRNA) molecules are approximately 80 nucleotides in length. Their secondary structure includes four short double-helical elements and three loops (D, anti-codon, and T loops). The record is from RNAcentral. Lineage: Bacteria; Candidatus Shapironibacteriota.